Molecule: ribosomal RNA, 519 nt
Filed under: Sarocladium terricola
Lineage: Eukaryota; Fungi; Ascomycota; Sordariomycetes; Hypocreales; Sarocladiaceae
Description: eukaryotic LSU rRNA
Rfam family: Eukaryotic large subunit ribosomal RNA
Source: RNAcentral
AUUUGAAAUCUGGCCGCAAGGUCCGAGUUGUAAUUUGUAGAGGAUGCUUUUGGCGAGGUGACUUCCGAGUUCCCUGGAACGGGACGCCAUAGAGGGUGAGAGCCCCGUACGGUCGUGCCACCGAGCCUCUGUAAAGCUCCUUCGACGAGUCGAGUAGUUUGGGAAUGCUGCUCUAAAUGGGAGGUGUACGUCUUCUAAAGCUAAAUACCGGCCAGAGACCGAUAGCGCACAAGUAGAGUGAUCGAAAGAUGAAAAGCACUUUGAAAAGAGGGUUAAAAAGUACGUGAAAUUGUUGAAAGGGAAGCAUUCAUGACCAGACUUGGGCUUGGUUGAACAUCCGGCGUUCUCGCCGGUGCACUCUGCCAGCUCAGGCCAGCAUCAGUUUGCCCCGGGGGACAAAGGCGGCGGGAAUGUGGCUCCCUACGGGGAGUGUUAUAGCCCGUCGUGUAAUGCCCUGGGGUGGACUGAGGUUCGCGCUUCGGCACGGAUGCUGGCGUAAUGGUCAUCAAUGACCCGUCU